This 559-nucleotide ribosomal RNA is filed under the name Saccharomyces cerevisiae (brewer's yeast). RNAcentral describes it as "partial large subunit ribosomal RNA". It matches the Rfam family "Eukaryotic large subunit ribosomal RNA", at positions 84 to 657 of the family's 3401-position model. Lineage: Eukaryota; Fungi; Ascomycota; Saccharomycetes; Saccharomycetales; Saccharomycetaceae. The record is from RNAcentral.
UAACGGCGAGUGAAGCGGCAAAAGCUCAAAUUUGAAAUCUGGUACCUUCGGUGCCCGAGUUGUAAUUUGGAGAGGGCAACUUUGGGGCCGUUCCUUGUCUAUGUUCCUUGGAACAGGACGUCAUAGAGGGUGAGAAUCCCGUGUGGCGAGGAGUGCGGUUCUUUGUAAAGUGCCUUCGAAGAGUCGAGUUGUUUGGGAAUGCAGCUCUAAGUGGGUGGUAAAUUCCAUCUAAAGCUAAAUAUUGGCGAGAGACCGAUAGCGAACAAGUACAGUGAUGGAAAGAUGAAAAGAACUUUGAAAAGAGAGUGAAAAAGUACGUGAAAUUGUUGAAAGGGAAGGGCAUUUGAUCAGACAUGGUGUUUUGUGCCCUCUGCUCCUUGUGGGUAGGGGAAUCUCGCAUUUCACUGGGCCAGCAUCAGUUUUGGUGGCAGGAUAAAUCCAUAGGAAUGUAGCUUGCCUCGGUAAGUAUUAUAGCCUGUGGGAAUACUGCCAGCUGGGACUGAGGACUGCGACGUAAGUCAAGGAUGCUGGCAUAAUGGUUAUAUGCCGCCCGUCUUGA